Molecule: ribosomal RNA, 535 nt
Filed under: uncultured bacterium
Lineage: Bacteria
Description: partial 16S ribosomal RNA
Rfam family: Bacterial small subunit ribosomal RNA
Source: RNAcentral
UGGGGAAUCUUGCGCAAUGGGCGAAAGCCUGACGCAGCCAUGCCGCGUGAAUGAUGAAGGUCUUAGGAUUGUAAAAUUCUUUCAGCGGGGACGAUAAUGACGGUACCCGCAGAAGAAGCCCCGGCUAACUUCGUGCCAGCAGCCGCGGUAAUACGAAGGGGGCUAGCGUUGCUCGGAUUUACUGGGCGUAAAGGGCGCGUAGGCGGAUUGACAAGUUGGGGGUGAAAGCCCGGGGCUCAACCUCGGAAUUGCCUUCAAAACUGUCAGUCUUGAGUUCGGGAGAGGUGAGUGGAACUCCGAGUGUAGAGGUGAAAUUCGUAGAUAUUCGGAAGAACACCAGUGGCGAAGGCGACUCACUGGCCCGAUACUGACGCUGAGGCGCGAAAGCGUGGGGAGCAAACAGGAUUAGAUACCCUGGUAGUCCACGCUGUAAACGAUGAGUGCUAGUUGUCGGCAGGCAUGCCUGUCGGUGACGCAGCUAACGCAUUAAGCACUCCGCCUGGGGGAGUACGGUCGCAAGAUUAAAACUUAAAUG